RNAcentral lists this ribosomal RNA (496 nucleotides) under uncultured bacterium. RNAcentral's name for it is "partial 16S ribosomal RNA". It matches the Rfam family "Bacterial small subunit ribosomal RNA", at positions 30 to 523 of the family's 1533-position model. The record is from RNAcentral.
AUUGAACGCUGGCGGAAUGCUUUACACAUGCAAGUCGAACGGUAGAGGGGGCAACCCCUCGAGAGUGGCGAACGGGUGAGUAAUAUAUCGGAACGUGCCCAGUCGUGGGGGAUAAUGUAGCGAAAGUUACGCUAAUACCGCAUACGAUCUAAGGAUGAAAGCGGGGGAUCGCAAGACAUCGCGCGAUUGGAGCGGCCGAUAUCAGAUUAGGUAGUUGGUGGGGUAAAGGCGCACCAAGCCAACGAUCUGUAGCUGGUCUGAGAGGACGACCAGCAACACUGGAACUGCGACACGGUCCAGACUCCGACGGGAGGCAGCGGUGGGGAAUUUUGGACAAUGGACGCAAGUCUGAUCCAGCCAUUCCGCGUGCAGGAUGAGGGCCCUCGGGUUGUAAACUGCUUUUGUACGGAACGAAAAGGUCUCUCUUAAUACGGGGGGCUCAUGACGGUACCGUAAGAAUAAGCACCGGCUAACUACGUGCCAGCCGCCGCAGUAA